CUACGGGUUGCUGCAGUGGGGAAUUUUGCGCAAUGGGGGAAACCCUGACGCAGCAAUACCGCGUGAGUGAAGAAGGCCUAUGGGUCGUAAAGCUCUUUUCUUGGGGAAGAUAGUGACGGUACCCAAGGAAUAAGCACCGGCUAACUCCGUGCCAGCAGCCGCGGUAAUACGGAGGGUGCAAGCGUUGUUCGGAUUUACUGGGCGUAAAGGGCACGUAGGCGGCACAGCAAGUUAAGGGUGAAAUCCCGGGGCUCAACUCCGGAACUGCUCUUAAAACUGCUGAGCUAGAGAUAGUCAGAGGCGGGUGGAAUUCCAGGUGUAGAGGUGAAAUUCGUAGAUAUCUGGAGGAACACCGGUGGCGAAGGCGGCCCGCUGGGGCUAUUCUGACGCUAAGGUGCGAAAGCGUGGGGAGCAAACGGGAUUAGAUACCCUCGUAGUC
This 439-nucleotide ribosomal RNA is filed under the name uncultured bacterium. Its description in RNAcentral is "partial 16S ribosomal RNA". It matches the Rfam family "Bacterial small subunit ribosomal RNA", at positions 339 to 795 of the family's 1533-position model. The record is from RNAcentral.